CCUACGGGAGGCAGCAGUGGGGAAUAUUGCACAAUGGGGGAAAUCCUGAUGCAGCGACGCCGCGUGAGUGAAGAAGUAUUUCGGUAUGUAAAGCUCUAUCAGCAGGGAAGAAAAUGACGGUACCUGAUUAAGAAGCCCCGGCUAACUACGUGCCAGCAGCCGCGGUACUACGUAGGGGGCAAGCGUUAUCCGGAUUUACUGGGGGUAAAGGGAGCGUAGACGGCAGCACAAGUCUGGAGUGAAAUGCCGGGGCUUAACCCCGGAACUGCUUUGGAAACUGUGCAGCUAGAGUGCAGGAGAGGUAAGUGGAAUUCCUAGUGUAGCGGUGAAAUGCGUAGAUAUUAGGAGGAACACCAGUGGCGAAGGCGGCUUACUGGACUGUAACUGACGUUGAGGCUCGAAAGCGUGGGGAGCAAACAGGAUUAGAUACCCGAGUAGUC
This 440-nucleotide ribosomal RNA is filed under the name uncultured bacterium. Its description in RNAcentral is "partial 16S ribosomal RNA". It matches the Rfam family "Bacterial small subunit ribosomal RNA", at positions 338 to 795 of the family's 1533-position model. The record is from RNAcentral.